Molecule: ribosomal RNA, 1354 nt
Filed under: Apilactobacillus kunkeei
Lineage: Bacteria; Bacillati; Bacillota; Bacilli; Lactobacillales; Lactobacillaceae
Description: bacterial SSU rRNA
Rfam family: Bacterial small subunit ribosomal RNA
Source: RNAcentral
AUUCGGAGCGAGUGGCGAACUGGUGAGUAACACGUGGGUAACCUGCCCCGAAGCGGGGGAUAACAUUUGGAAACAAGUGCUAAUACCGCAUAAUUAGUUGGAACCGCAUGGUUCCAACUUGAAAGAUGGCUCUGCUAUCACUUUGGGAUGGACCCGCGCCGUAUUAGUUAGUUGGUGAGAUAAAAGCCCACCAAGACGAUGAUACGUAGCCGACCUGAGAGGGUAAUCGGCCACAUUGGGACUGAGACACGGCCCAGACUCCUACGGGAGGCAGCAGUAGGGAAUCUUCCACAAUGGACGAAAGUCUGAUGGAGCAACGCCGCGUGAGUGAUGAAGGUUUUCGGAUCGUAAAACUCUGUUGUUAAAGAAGAACAAGUGUUAGAGUAACUGUUAACACUUUGACGGUAUUUAACCAGAAAGCCACGGCUAACUACGUGCCAGCAGCCGCGGUAAUACGUAGGUGGCAAGCGUUGUCCGGAUUUAUUGGGCGUAAAGCGAGCGCAGGCGGUUUUGUAAGUCUGCUGUGAAAGCCCUCAGCUCAACUGAGGAAGUGCAGUGGAAACUACAAAACUUGAGUACAGAAGAGGAAAGUGGAACUCCAUGUGUAGCGGUGAAAUGCGUAGAUAUAUGGAAGAACACCAGUGGCGAAGGCGGCUUUCUGGUCUGUUACUGACGCUGAGGCUCGAAAGCAUGGGUAGCGAACAGGAUUAGAUACCCUGGUAGUCCAUGCCGUAAACGAUGAAUACUAGGUGUUGGAGGGUUUCCGCCCUUCAGUGCCGCAGCUAAACGCAUUAAGUAUUCCGCCUGGGGAGUACGACCGCAAGGUUGAAACUCAAAGGAAUUGACGGGGGCCCGCACAAGUGGUGGAGCAUGUGGUUUAAUUCGAUGCUACGCGAAGAACCUUACCAGCUCUUGACAUCUUCUGCCAACCCAAGAGAUUGGGCGUUCCCUUCGGGGACAGAAUGACAGGUGGUGCAUGGUUGUCGUCAGCUCGUGUCGUGAGAUGUUGGGUUAAGUCCCGCAACGAGCGCAACCCUUAUUAUUAGUUGCCAGCAUUUAGUUGGGCACUCUAGUGAGACUGCCGGUGAUAAACCGGAGGAAGGUGGGGACGACGUCAAAUCAUCAUGCCCCUUAUGAGCUGGGCUACACACGUGCUACAAUGGAUGGUACAACGAGUCGCGAAACCGCGAGGUCAAGCUAAUCUCUUAAAGCCAUUCUCAGUUCGGAUUGCAGGCUGCAACUCGCCUGCAUGAAGUUGGAAUCACUAGUAAUCGUGGAUCAGCAUGCCACGGUGAAUACGUUCCCGGGCCUUGUACACACCGCCCGUCACACCAUGAGAGUUUGUAACACCCAA